RNAcentral lists this ribosomal RNA (254 nucleotides) under uncultured bacterium. Its description in RNAcentral is "partial 16S ribosomal RNA". It matches the Rfam family "Bacterial small subunit ribosomal RNA", at positions 524 to 776 of the family's 1533-position model. The record is from RNAcentral.
UACGUAGGGGCCAAGCGUUGUCCGGAUUUAUUGGGCGUAAAGAGCUCGUAGGCGGUUCGGCAAGACAGCUGUGAAAUCUCCACGCUCAACGUGGAGGGGUCAGCUGAUACUGCUGUGACUCGAGUCCGGUAGGGGAGUGUGGAAUUCCCGGUGUAGCGGUGAAAUGCGCAGAUAUCGGGAGGAACACCAGUAGCGAAGGCAGCUCGCUGGGACGUGACUGACGCUGAGACGCGAAAGCGUGGGGAGCAAACAGG